RNAcentral lists this ribosomal RNA (900 nucleotides) under Vibrio harveyi. RNAcentral's name for it is "bacterial SSU rRNA". It matches the Rfam family "Bacterial small subunit ribosomal RNA", at positions 200 to 1094 of the family's 1533-position model. The record is from RNAcentral. Lineage: Bacteria; Pseudomonadati; Pseudomonadota; Gammaproteobacteria; Vibrionales; Vibrionaceae.
ACCUUCGGGCCUCUCGCGUCAGGAUAUGCCUAGGUGGGAUUAGCUAGUUGGUGAGGUAAUGGCUCACCAAGGCGACGAUCCCUAGCUGGUCUGAGAGGAUGAUCAGCCACACUGGAACUGAGACACGGUCCAGACUCCUACGGGAGGCAGCAGUGGGGAAUAUUGCACAAUGGGCGCAAGCCUGAUGCAGCCAUGCCGCGUGUGUGAAGAAGGCCUUCGGGUUGUAAAGCACUUUCAGUCGUGAGGAAGGUAGUGUAGUUAAUAGCUGCAUUAUUUGACGUUAGCGACAGAAGAAGCACCGGCUAACUCCGUGCCAGCAGCCGCGGUAAUACGGAGGGUGCGAGCGUUAAUCGGAAUUACUGGGCGUAAAGCGCAUGCAGGUGGUUUGUUAAGUCAGAUGUGAAAGCCCGGGGCUCAACCUCGGAAUUGCAUUUGAAACUGGCAGACUAGAGUACUGUAGAGGGGGGUAGAAUUUCAGGUGUAGCGGUGAAAUGCGUAGAGAUCUGAAGGAAUACCGGUGGCGAAGGCGGCCCCCUGGACAGAUACUGACACUCAGAUGCGAAAGCGUGGGGAGCAAACAGGAUUAGAUACCCUGGUAGUCCACGCCGUAAACGAUGUCUACUUGGAGGUUGUGGCCUUGAGCCGUGGCUUUCGGAGCUAACGCGUUAAGUAGACCGCCUGGGGAGUACGGUCGCAAGAUUAAAACUCAAAUGAAUUGACGGGGGCCCGCACAAGCGGUGGAGCAUGUGGUUUAAUUCGAUGCAACGCGAAGAACCUUACCUACUCUUGACAUCCAGAGAACUUUCCAGAGAUGGAUUGGUGCCUUCGGGAACUCUGAGACAGGUGCUGCAUGGCUGUCGUCAGCUCGUGUUGUGAAAUGUUGGGUUAAGUCCCGCAACG